UGUACCUACGGGAGGCAGCAGUGGGGAAUAUUGCGCAAUGGCCGAAAGUCUGACGCAGCGACACCGCGUGAGGGAUGAAGGUUUUCGGAUCGUAAACCUCUGUCAGGAGGGAAGAAAGCGCAUGGCGCCAAUCAGCCAUGCGUUGACGGUACCUCCAAAGGAAGCGCCGGCUAACUCCGUGCCAGCAGCCGCGGUAAUACGGAGGGCGCGAGCGUUAAUCGGAAUUACUGGGCGUAAAGCGCGCGUAGGCUGUUGUGAAGGUUGGGGGUGAAAUCCCACGGCUCAACCG
Molecule: ribosomal RNA, 289 nt
Filed under: uncultured bacterium
Lineage: Bacteria
Description: partial 16S ribosomal RNA
Rfam family: Bacterial small subunit ribosomal RNA
Source: RNAcentral